CGUUAGCGGUAGUAAUGGCAUCCUUUUUUUGCUGCCAUAUAUGGCAAAAAAAGAUAUAACCCUUCGACUACGC
This 73-nucleotide small RNA is filed under the name Olleya namhaensis. Its description in RNAcentral is "Flavo-1 RNA". The record is from RNAcentral. Lineage: Bacteria; Pseudomonadati; Bacteroidota; Flavobacteriia; Flavobacteriales; Flavobacteriaceae.